AACGCGAAGAACCUUACCUGGGCUCGAAAUGUUAUGGACCGGAGUAGAAAUAUUCCUUCCCCGCAAGGGGCCGUAAUAUAGGUGCUGCAUGGCUGUCGUCAGCUCGUGUCGUGAGAUGUUGGGUUAAGUCCCGCAACGAGCGCAACCCUUAUCUUCAGUUGCUACCAUUUAGUUGAGCACUCUGACGAAACCGCCUCGGAUAACGGGGAGGAAGGUGGGGAUGACGUCAAGUCCUCAUGGCCUUUAUGUCCAGGGCUACACACGUGCUACAAUGGCCGGUACAAACCGUUGCAAACCCGCGAGGGGGAGCUAAUCGGAAAAAGCCGGCCUCAGUUCGGAUUGCAGUCUGCAACUCGACUGCAUGAAGCUGGAAUCGCUAGUAAUCGCGGAUCAGAACGCCGCGGUGAAUACGUUCCCGGGCCUUGUACACACCGGCUAC
Molecule: ribosomal RNA, 439 nt
Filed under: uncultured bacterium
Lineage: Bacteria
Description: bacterial SSU rRNA
Rfam family: Bacterial small subunit ribosomal RNA
Source: RNAcentral